GCGGUGAGCAUGUGUUUAAUUCGAAGCAACGCGAAGAACCUUACCAGGUCUUGACAUCCCCUGACAACCCGAGAGACUCGGGCGUUCCCCUUCGGGGGACAGGGUGACAGGUGGUGCAUGGUUGUCGUCAGCUCGUGUCGUGAGAUGUUGGGUUAAGUCCCGCAACGAGCGCAACCCUCGACCUUAGUUGCCAGCAUUCAGUUGGGCACUCUAAGGUGACUGCCGGCUAAAAGUCGGAGGAAGUGGGGAUGACGUCAAAUCAUCAUGCCCCUUAUGACCUGGGCUACACACGUGCUACAAUGGGCGGUACAAAGGGUCGCGAACCCGCGAGGGGGAGCCAAUCCCAAAAAGCCGCUCUCAGUUCGGAUUGCAGGCUGCAACUCGCCUGCAUGAAGCCGGAAUCGCUAGUAAUCGCGGAUCAGCAUGCCGCGGUGAAUACGUUCCCGGGCCUU
This 452-nucleotide ribosomal RNA is filed under the name uncultured Anoxybacillus sp. RNAcentral describes it as "bacterial SSU rRNA". It matches the Rfam family "Bacterial small subunit ribosomal RNA", at positions 929 to 1382 of the family's 1533-position model. The record is from RNAcentral. Lineage: Bacteria; Bacillati; Bacillota; Bacilli; Caryophanales; Anoxybacillaceae.